CCUACGGGUGGCUGCAGUGAGGGAUCUUGCGCAAUGGGGGAAACCCUGACGCAGCGACGCCGCGUGGAUGAUGAAGGCCUUCGGGUUGUAAAAUCCUUUAGCCCCUGACGAGGACGGACGGUAGGGGGAAAAUAAGCUUCGGCUAACUACGUGCCAGCAGCCGCGGUAAAACGUAGGAAGCAAGCGUUAUCCGGAGUUACUGGGCGUAAAGCGCGCGCAGGCGGCUUGUUAAGUGGUGCUUGAAAGCUCCGGGCUAAACUCGGAGAGGCGGCAUC
RNAcentral lists this ribosomal RNA (275 nucleotides) under uncultured bacterium. RNAcentral describes it as "partial 16S ribosomal RNA". It matches the Rfam family "Bacterial small subunit ribosomal RNA", at positions 338 to 629 of the family's 1533-position model. The record is from RNAcentral.